CCCAUUAAAGCGGUACGCGAGCUGGGUUCAGAACGUCGUGAGACAGUUCGGUCCCUAUCCGGCGUGGGCGUAGGAUAUCUGAGAGGAGCUGUCCUUAGUACGAGAGGACCGGGAUGGACUGACCUCUGGUGUACCGGUUGCACUGCCAAGUGCAUGGCCGGGUAGCCAAGUCGGGACGGGAUAAACGCUGAAGGCAUCUAAGCGUGAAGCCCCCCUCAAGAUGAGAUAUCCCAUCGCAAGAGUAAGACCCCUUGAAGACGACGAGGUAGAUAGGGCAGAGGUGGAAGCAUGGCAACAUGUGCAGCUGACUGUCACUAAUAGGUCGAGGGCUUAACCAA
RNAcentral lists this ribosomal RNA (338 nucleotides) under human gut metagenome. RNAcentral's name for it is "bacterial LSU rRNA". It matches the Rfam family "Bacterial large subunit ribosomal RNA", at positions 2584 to 2925 of the family's 2925-position model. The record is from RNAcentral.